Molecule: ribosomal RNA, 506 nt
Filed under: uncultured bacterium
Lineage: Bacteria
Description: bacterial SSU rRNA
Rfam family: Bacterial small subunit ribosomal RNA
Source: RNAcentral
AGAUAAUAGAUACCCUGGUAGUCCCAGCAGUAAACGGUGCGCGUUUGGUGUGAGCAGAUUCGACUCUGUUCGCGCCGGAGCUAACGCGUUAAACGCGCCGCCUGGGAAGUACGAUCGCAAGAUUAGAACUCAAAGAAAUUGACGGGGGCCCGCACAAGCGGUGGAGUAUGUGGCUUAAUUCGAUGCAACGCGAAGAACCUUACCUGGGUUUGACAUGCAUCUCUAAGGAGGUGAAAGCUUCCGAGGGUAGCAAUACCCGAUUUGCACAGGUGCUGCAUGGCUGUCGUCAGCUCGUGUCGUGAGAUGUUGGGUUAAGUCCCGCAACGAGCGCAACCCUUGUAUGCUGUUGCUAUGCUUACGCAUAGCUCUCUGCGUAGACUGCCCCGUGAAACGGGGAGGAAGGUGGGAUGACGUCAAGUCAGCAUGGCCCUUACACCCAGGGCUGCACACGUACUACAAUGCUCAGUACAAUUAGAACCUGCCCCGCGAGGGUUGGGAAAUCAGCG